Molecule: unclassified non-coding RNA, 411 nt
Filed under: uncultured Atheliaceae
Lineage: Eukaryota; Fungi; Basidiomycota; Agaricomycetes; Atheliales; Atheliaceae
Description: sequence contains ITS2
Rfam family: 5.8S ribosomal RNA (bases 1-155)
Source: RNAcentral
AACUUUUGACAACGGAUCUCUUGGCUCUCGCAUCGAUGAAGAACGCAGCGAAAUGCGAUAAGUAAUGUGAAUUGCAGAUUUUAAGUGAAUCAUCAAAUCUUUGAACGCACCUUGCGCCCCUUGGUAUUCCGAGGGGCAUGCCUGUUUGAGUGUCAUUAAAUUCUCACCUCCAUUUGAUUUGUUUCAAACCUGGAGCUUGGACUUGGAGUGUGCUGGCGUUGACCGUCGGCUCCUCUCAAAUGCAUCGGCGGAAUUGAACCUAUGACUUCCGAAUGUCAGUGUGAUAAUUAACGUUGCGCUGUCGACCGGGGUCGGAGUCCGCUUACAAUCGUCCUCGGACAACUUAUCAAAUUUGACCUCAAAUCAGGUAGGACUACCCGCUGAACUUAAGCAUAUCAAUAAGCGGAGGCC